Long non-coding RNA from Ictalurus punctatus (channel catfish), 1101 nucleotides. NCBI's taxonomy places the organism in Eukaryota, Metazoa, Chordata, Actinopteri, Siluriformes, Ictaluridae. The record is from Ensembl.
CUCUGGGUCACAUUCGAGUACAUUAUAUCUGACCUCAACUUAACUUUCCGUUUAAAAAAAAAAAAGAAGUACCUUGUUUGUUAAAUGAUUGUGUUUAUAAUAGCACUUUAGGUACACAAAUCCAUAUACAAAAACACAUGUCAAGGUAUUUUGCUUUUUUUUUUACUUUAGAAGGUGUUAUUGCACAUUCUUUAAUUCCUCGGUAGGUGACGGAAGGAGGAGUUGAUUGCUGCACAGAAGUUGAUCGAAAUGACUAAAAGCGAUCACUUCAUCUGAGAGAAGUGUGUUCUUGGGGUAUAGUUGGUUGUUCUGCUAAUUAGGGAUUAAUUCUGAACAUACUAUCGCUCGGUUAAUUGGAGUCGAUUUGGAAAGCAAGUGCUCUUAGACGAGAUAAGGGUAUCGAUAGCCAUAAACACGCCGGGGUGUUCUGGAGUCACGUGACGGUCACAUGUAUAGGCAUUGGGACUAGUUCUGAAAAGCUGAAAACGCUCAUUAAGAGUUGUGUGAGUCGGUAUUCAAUAUUUUUAACCCUUGUUGUUCAUCAAGCUUAAAUGGAUAUACUAUACAAAAGUGGUAAUUGUUGAGAAAAGAAAAGAAAAGAAAAAACCUUGGCUUUUUGUUGUAAAAUGUCUUAUUAUUAUUAUUUUACAACAAAAUGGUGCACAUGUGGACAUCUUUGUCUUAAUUUAAACUUCUUCAAAUCUGGGUCUAGCCCACAGAGAUGAUUUUAAGGGAGGCUAGAUGCAUUAUGUUCAUAAUGGAGCUCAGAGUACUGCACCUUAAAAGUCGGUAAUGAUGGGUCCAGAGUAAAAUGCUAAGCUAAGUGUGGUUCAUGUAAAAGGGGGCCAUUAUUUUCAAUAUGGAAAUCCGUAAAGGUAAUGCCCUGCUAUUCAUGGUGGUCAUUAACUUUCAGAUAAUGGCCUCUUCUCGACCUCUCGCUCUCCCUUCCAGGUGUCAAUGAGUUUGCUGAAAAUAUGCUAACAGGCAUUUCCUAGGCUUUUGCUCCACUAAGAAAGCAAUGUCCCCAUAUCCUGUCCACAUUUCAUCCACUCAGGGUGAUUUAGGGCCUACACACACACACACACACACACACACACACAC